RNAcentral lists this ribosomal RNA (275 nucleotides) under uncultured Cloacibacterium sp. RNAcentral's name for it is "partial 16S ribosomal RNA". It matches the Rfam family "Bacterial small subunit ribosomal RNA", at positions 338 to 610 of the family's 1533-position model. The record is from RNAcentral. Lineage: Bacteria; Pseudomonadati; Bacteroidota; Flavobacteriia; Flavobacteriales; Weeksellaceae.
CCUACGGGUGGCUGCAGUGAGGAAUAUUGGUCAAUGGGUGCAAGCCUGAACCAGCCAUCCCGCGUGAAGGACGACUGCCCUAUGGGUUGUAAACUUCUUUUGUAUAGGGAUAAACCUACCCUCGUGAGGGUAGCUGAAGGUACUAUACGAAUAAGCACCGGCUAACUCCGUGCCAGCAGCCGCGGUAAUACGGAGGGUGCAAGCGUUAUCCGGAUUUAUUGGGUUUAAAGGGUCCGUAGGCGGACUUAUAAGUCAGUGGUGAAAGCCUGUCGCUU